RNAcentral lists this ribosomal RNA (366 nucleotides) under uncultured bacterium. Its description in RNAcentral is "bacterial SSU rRNA". It matches the Rfam family "Bacterial small subunit ribosomal RNA", at positions 30 to 398 of the family's 1533-position model. The record is from RNAcentral.
AUUGAACGCUGGCGGCAUGCCUUACACAUGCAAGUCGAACGGCAGCGGACCUUCGGGUGCCGGCGAGUGGCGAACGGGUGAGUAAUAUAUCGGAACGUACCUUUCAGUGGGGGAUAACGUAGCGAAAGUUACGCUAAUACCGCAUAUUCUGUGAGCAGGAAAGCAGGGGAUCGCAAGACCUUGCGCUGAUUGAGCGGCCGAUAUCAGAUUAGCUAGUUGGUGAGGUAAAGGCUCACCAAGGCGACGAUCUGUAGCGGGUCUGAGAGGAUGAUCCGCCACACUGGAACUGAGACACGGUCCAGACUCCUACGGGAGGCAGCAGUGGGGAAUUUUGGACAAUGGGCGCAAGCCUGAUCCAGCCAUGCC